This 113-nucleotide ribosomal RNA is filed under the name Salvator merianae (Argentine black and white tegu). The record is from RNAcentral. Lineage: Eukaryota; Metazoa; Chordata; Lepidosauria; Squamata; Teiidae.
CUUAGUAUUUAUGUUGAUCGUUAUAGAUCCCAUCUAAUCAUGGAAGCUAAACAAGGUCAAGCCUGAUUAAUACUUGGAUGAAAAACCACUGAGGAACACCAGGGCUAUUGAUU